AUUGGACGCUGGCGGCAUGCUUUACACAUGCAAGUCGAACGGCAGCGCGGGGCAACCUGGCGGCGAGUGGCGAACGGGUGAGUAAUAUAUCGGAACGUACCCAGAAGUGGGGGAUAACGUAGCGAAAGUUACGCUAAUACCGCAUACGAUCUACGGAUGAAAGUAGGGGACCGCAAGGCCUUAUGCUUUUGGAGCGGCCGAUAUCUGAUUAGCUAGUUGGUGAGGUAAAGGCUCACCAAGGCGACGAUCAGUAGCUGGUCUGAGAGGACGACCAGCCACACUGGAACUGAGACACGGUCCAGACUCCUACGGGAGGCAGCAGUGGGGAAUUUUGGACAAUGGGCGCAAGCCUGAUCCAGCAAUGCCGCGUGAGUGAAGAAGGCCUUCGGGUUGUAAAGCUCUUUUGUCAGGGAAGAAACGGUAGAGGCUAAUAUCCUUUGCUAAUGACGGUACCUGAAGAAUAAGCACCGGCUAACUACGUG
RNAcentral lists this ribosomal RNA (482 nucleotides) under uncultured bacterium. RNAcentral's name for it is "partial 16S ribosomal RNA". It matches the Rfam family "Bacterial small subunit ribosomal RNA", at positions 30 to 507 of the family's 1533-position model. The record is from RNAcentral.